CACACUGCUCCUUGUACUUGCUUCAUUUCUUCCCCCCGCCAUUCAGAAGGUGCCCUGCAAAUUUUCCCAAGAAAAUGGCUUUGGAGAUCUGUGUCAAGGCAGCUGUUGGUGCUCCUGACAUUAUCGGAGGCUCCCAUUCUCCCAGAGAGCUCUCUUGACUUUGGAACAGAAGAAACUUUCCUGCAAGUUGCGUCUGAUCAAUCUCAGUGACAAGCCUCAGUGGUAUCAGAAUCAGCUAAUCGUUUGAGCCUAUGCAUGUUUAAUAAAAAAAUUUCCAACAUUAAAAGUAAUAAAUUGAAUUUAAAACUAGUUAAAAAUUAGAGGGGAGGUGUCGAUAAUGUAUUCAAUUUAUAGUGUUAUUGAAAUGAGAUCUAAAUAGUACUAAUUAUUUUGUAUUAAUUUUGUUAUGAACUAACUGAAUGUUUUUAAGUUUGAUAUUAUAUCCACAUCUGUAUUCAACAUAGCUUCUCAUGGGUGUUUGCAAUUACAGCUAUUGAACCACAAAAACAUUUUGCUUAGAGCUUUUGUAAGCCAGUACUUCAGAAAUAAUGAUUCAGAUGAUACAGUGUAAAUCCACAACAAGCUCAGAAUAGAAGUUCAUCCUUAUUUAAUAGCUUUGUUAAGGGGGAGAAUUUAGAGGUUAAAGCGAAUAAUAGCUGGGACUGACAGCAGGACUGCAAAAUAUAAGCUAGAGUGUAGCUUUGUAAGUGCAUUUUGGUUUCAGACGUCCCACAUUGAAUAAAAGAGAAGUGAGGGGUCAGUGAGGACUUUAUAAAAGGACAAGAGAAACGCUCAAAUAACUCAGGCAGCCACGUGAUGAGCACAAAGCGAACUAUUCUUUCGCCUUUUACUAAAGAAUACCGUGUGCUCGUCACAUACAGUGGCAUACUCUAAUUUUUGGAGGGCCUGCCUUCUUCGAAGGGGUCCA
Molecule: long non-coding RNA, 928 nt
Organism: Hevea brasiliensis (rubber tree)
Lineage: Eukaryota; Viridiplantae; Streptophyta; Magnoliopsida; Malpighiales; Euphorbiaceae
Exons: 2
Source: RefSeq, a predicted model, not a curated record